CAAUGUAGGCAAGGGAAGUCG
This 21-nucleotide small RNA is filed under the name Arabidopsis thaliana (thale cress). RNAcentral describes it as "Ath_wt_20719". Lineage: Eukaryota; Viridiplantae; Streptophyta; Magnoliopsida; Brassicales; Brassicaceae. The record is from RNAcentral.